Long non-coding RNA from Mercenaria mercenaria, 1726 nucleotides. RefSeq lists it as uncharacterized. The transcript has 4 exons. NCBI's taxonomy places the organism in Eukaryota, Metazoa, Mollusca, Bivalvia, Venerida, Veneridae. The record is from RefSeq and is a predicted model, not a curated record.
UAAUUAGAUAAUUGUUUUCAUUAAUUUGUUUUUAAAGCAAUAGCCAUUAGUGUUAUAAUCAAUAAUAUCGGACGAAGAUUUUUAAGUUUAAACGUUUCAACAUUUAGUUAUCGCACUAGAUUCUAGUACUAAGUGAACACAAAUGAGUGAAUUAGCGAAUUGUUUCCCUUUGAAAUCUACACGCCAUUAACGGUGUAUACAUGUGUGAAACUGGGUCAGAGAAAACAUGCAGUUAUUGCUCAGAAUAUACGCGCAUAUUUAAAGUGCAUGGCGGAUUUAUUGGUUGUUAUGGUAAGUGUUUAUUUUCAUCAUAAAUUUAUUCGUAACUUAAGUAAAAAAAGAAUGAACAGACCGCUUCUUUUGUUGAUGUAUCGAAGAUACAACUUGGCAGCGAAAAAUGGCCGUGUUGGCAUUUCGAUUUGACUGUCUGCUGUCAAGUACUUUUAAUAGUUUUUCUGUAUAUUUGUAAAUUUUCAUGAUGGCAGAAUAUACUUGUAGCCAAGACAGGCAGGCAUCUACUAUAGUAAGUACAUUCUGUACGAAAUUUUCGGACAUUCCUUUUGGCUAUCCGCUACCGUAUACAUUUUUGGCUAUCAAGAAAUUGUAAAUAAACAGGAAUAUUGUAGAUUCUACAUUUUUUUAACUGUCACAGAUGUGAACUGGUGAAUAAUUACAUGGUCAUUAUGCACAUACAAUAGAAUCUAUGACAAUUGGAAAAGAAAAGUACAAUAACACAGGGACAGUGGUGUUUUAAAUUGUCACUUUUUGUUGUAAUAGCAACUAAAAUAGACCUCCUGAAAAAUUCUAAAAAAUUCUACAUGCAAUUCACCAUAAAAACUCCUUUUUACAUUCUCACUACUGUCAGUACUGGCAGACAGCAUACUGGUAGGCUACUAAAUAAAUGAAAAAAAUCUUGCUUUAUAUUUUUCAGGACAACCUCCAGCAAUAUGAGAUAUAAAUGUUCACUGCAGUUUUGACUAUGCUGAACAAGUACUAUACACAUACUAUGCUCAGCAAGUGGAGUUGCUGUCAGUUCUCAUGCAGGCUCUCAGAUUUUCUACCUAGUGUAUGAAAAGAACAGUACUGCUGUUGGAAGAGGAGAAGUGUGGUAUUUAUGGUCCACCAUCACUUCAAGCAUUAUGGCUAUGGAUAAAAGAAGGUUUCAUUACAUAUAUAUGGACAAUUAUACUCCAGACAAAAUAAGAAGUGUUCUAAUAAGUUCUGGAAUGUGGCGUGUUAUGAUGGGUCUACCUGAUUGACUUAGAGUACAACCUGAUGGGGACUGGGCUUGCAGAAUUCAGUCCUGAACAUGUUUAGAAUGUCUUCUGCAUGACCUAGUAUAGUAUUCUUGAAGGAUUAUAACUUCAACACAGAGACAGAGAUUAAUAUUUUAGGCAGAGGAUUGGCAUGACAGGCAAAUUCUCCAACUGUAUAACCAUUCCUGAGCUGGAUGCCAGUCGACAGUGGUACCAGUAUAAUGAAAUAGCGCCCCUUUGCAGCAACAGCAAUGUAUGCUCAAAACUAGCAGUGCCAAAGCCAUUUAAAUUGAGAAUUCAGUCAUUUAAAACGAAGAAUGAAUGGAAAAAAGUGUUUAACAUUUAAAGUUAUACAGAGAAAGAGCUUAGCUUAUUUGGUAUUUUCUGAAAUUUUAAUUAAUUUGAAAGUGUUUUUGAUUUUUUAAAGGUGUACUAGACCCAAAUUCCAUAUAUAUGAAUAUGAACAAAUG